GGCUGGUCCUUUGGGGUCAAAAGAACAUCUUUUAUAAAAACUGAGCUCAUAACCUAUACUACAAUUUCAACCACACCUCACAGCAAGGUGUGGUUGUCCAGUGAAGAAGAGACAAUGCGGGACCAUUAACGUUAAUGGAAAGACAUUGAGACAUCCCCACUCUUCAAUCAAGAAGGAUUUCCACACUAAAUAAACAUAAAAUCCCUUUUCUAAUAAGGGCUGGCUCUAUUAUUUUUGCACCAAACAAGAAAAAAGAAAAAGCCGCUUGGACUGCUGCCCGAAC
Molecule: long non-coding RNA, 283 nt
Organism: Trachemys scripta elegans
Lineage: Eukaryota; Metazoa; Chordata; Testudines; Emydidae
Exons: 3
Source: RefSeq, a predicted model, not a curated record